RNAcentral lists this ribosomal RNA (501 nucleotides) under uncultured bacterium. Its description in RNAcentral is "partial 16S ribosomal RNA". It matches the Rfam family "Bacterial small subunit ribosomal RNA", at positions 30 to 523 of the family's 1533-position model. The record is from RNAcentral.
AUUGAACGCUGGCGGCAGGCUUAACACAUGCAAGUCGAGCGGAGAUGAGGUGCUUGCACCUUAUCUUAGCGGCGGACGGGUGAGUAAUGCUUAGGAAUCUGCCUAUUAGUGGGGGACAACAUUCCGAAAGGAACGCUAAUACCGCAUACGUCCUACGGGAGAAAGCAGGGGAUCUUCGGACCUUGCGCUAAUAGAUGAGCCUAAGUCGGAUUAGCUAGUUGGUGGGGUAAAGGCCUACCAAGGCGACGAUCUGUAGCGGGUCUGAGAGGAUGAUCAGCCACACUGGGACUGAGACACGGCCCAGACUCCUACGGGAGGCAGCAGUGGGGAAUAUUGGACAAUGGGGGAAACCCUGAUCCAGCCAUGCCGCGUGUGUGAAGAAGGCCUUAUGGUUGUAAAGCACUUUAAGCGAGGAGGAGGCUACUGAGACUAAUACUCUUGGAUAGUGGACGUUACUCGCAGAAUAAGCACCGGCUAACUCUGUGCCAGCCGCCGCCGUAA